This 119-nucleotide ribosomal RNA is filed under the name Propithecus coquereli (Coquerel's sifaka). The record is from RNAcentral. Lineage: Eukaryota; Metazoa; Chordata; Mammalia; Primates; Indriidae.
GCCUUUUUAAUUUGCAUUUCUUACGCACCCGAUCUCGUCUGUUCUUGGAAGCUAAGCAGGGUUGGACCUGGUUAGUACUUGGAUGGGAUACUGCCUGGGAACAUUGGGUGCUGUAGGCU